This 349-nucleotide ribosomal RNA is filed under the name uncultured bacterium. Its description in RNAcentral is "bacterial SSU rRNA". It matches the Rfam family "Bacterial small subunit ribosomal RNA", at positions 8 to 350 of the family's 1533-position model. The record is from RNAcentral.
AGAGUUUGAUCCUGGCUCAGGAUGAACGCUAGCGGCAGGCUUAAUACAUGCAAGUCGUGGGGCAGCAGGUCUGUAGCAAUACAGAUGCUGGCGACCGGCAAACGGGUGCGGAACACGUACACAACCUUCCUUUAAGUGGAGAAUAGCCCAGGGAAACUUGGAUUAAUACUCCGUAACAUUAUGAAAUGGCAUCAUUUUAUAAUUAUAGCUCCGGCGCUUAAUGAUGGGUGUGCGGCUGAUUAGGUAGUUGGCGGGGUAAUGGCCCACCAAGCCUGCGAUCAGUAACUGGUGUGAGAGCACGACCAGUCACACGGGCACUGAGACACGGGCCCGACUCCUACGGGAGGCA